Molecule: ribosomal RNA, 810 nt
Filed under: uncultured bacterium
Lineage: Bacteria
Description: bacterial SSU rRNA
Rfam family: Bacterial small subunit ribosomal RNA
Source: RNAcentral
AGAGUUUGAUCAUGGCUCAGAACGAACGCUGGCGGCGUGGAUAAGACAUGCAAGUCGAACGAGACUUUUCGUUGUAGCAAUACGAUGGAAAGUUUAGUGGCGAACGGGUGCUUAACACGUGGGCAACCUGCCAGGAAGUGGGGGAUAGCUCGCCGAAAGGCGAAUUAAUACCGCAUGUGAUUAGAGAGGACAUCCUUUCAAAAUUAAAGUCGGGGCAACCUGACGCUUCUUGUGGGGCCCGCGGCCUAUCAGCUAGUUGGUGAGGUAACGGCCCACCAAGGCUUUGACGGGUAGCUGGUCUGAGAGGACGACCAGCCACACUGGGACUGAGACACGGCCCAGACACCUACGGGUGGCAGCAGUCGAGAAUUUUUGACAAUGGGGGAAACCCUGAUCGAGCGACGCCGCGUGGAGGAUGAAGGUCUUCGGAUUGUAAACUCCUGUCAUUGGGGAACAAUGCACAGAUAUUAACUGUAUUUGUGUUGAUAGUACCCGAAGAGGAAGAGACGGCUAACUCUGUGCCAGCAGCCGCGGUAAUACAGAGGUCUCAAGCGUUGUUCGGAUUCAUUGGGCGUAAAGGGUGCGUAGGCGGCGCGGUAAGUCGGGUGUGAAAUCUCGGAGCUUAACUCCGAAACUGCAUUCGAUACUGCCGUGCUUGAGGACUGGAGAGGAGACUGGAAUUUACGGUGUAGCGGUGAAAUGCGUAGAUAUCGUAAGGAAGACCAGUGGCGAAGGCGGGUCUCUGGACAGUUCCUGACGCUGAGGCACGAAGGUCAGGGGAGCAAACGGGAUUAGAUACCCUAGUAGUCC